Molecule: ribosomal RNA, 486 nt
Filed under: uncultured bacterium
Lineage: Bacteria
Description: bacterial SSU rRNA
Rfam family: Bacterial small subunit ribosomal RNA
Source: RNAcentral
CGAUGGGGCACUUGGGUGUUGGGGGUAUUGAAGCCCCCUCGGGUGCCGGAGUUAACCACGUUAAGGUGCCCCCGCCUGGGGAGUACGGUCGCCAAGACUGAAACUCCAAAGGAAUUGACGGGGGCCCGCACAAGGCGGUGGAGCCAUGUGGUUCCAAUUCGACGCAACGCGAAGAACCUUACCAGGGCUUGAACUGUAAUUGCUACUCCAUGGAAACAUGAGAUUCUCUUCGGAGACGGUUAUAGAGGUGCUGCCAUGGCUGUCGUCCAGCUCGUGUCGUGAGAUGUUGGGUUAAGUCCCCGCAACGAGCGCAACCCUUGCCCUUAGUUGCCAUCCAGGUAAUGCUGGGAACCCUAAGGGAACUGUCGGCGAAAAGCCGGAGGAAGGUGGGGAUGACGUCCAAGUCCCUCCAUGGCCCUUACGUCCUGGGCUACCACACGUGCUACCAAUGGCUGGUACAAAGGGUUGCCAACCCGCGAGGGGGAG